UACGAAGGGGGCUAGCGUUGCUCGGAAUCACUGGGCGUAAAGGGUGCGUAGGCGGGUUCUUAAGUCAGGGGUGAAAUCCUGGAGCUCAACUCCAGAACUGCCUUUGAUACUGAGAAGCUUGAGUCCGGGAGAGGUGAGUGGAACUGCGAGUGUAGAGGUGAAAUUCGUAGAUAUUCGCAAGAACACCAGUGGCGAAGGCGGCUCACUGGCCCGGUACUGACGCUGAGGUGCGAAAGCGUGGGGAGCAAACAGG
RNAcentral lists this ribosomal RNA (253 nucleotides) under uncultured bacterium. RNAcentral describes it as "partial 16S ribosomal RNA". It matches the Rfam family "Bacterial small subunit ribosomal RNA", at positions 524 to 776 of the family's 1533-position model. The record is from RNAcentral.